Cervus elaphus (red deer) is the source of this 978-nucleotide long non-coding RNA. RefSeq lists it as uncharacterized. The transcript has 3 exons. NCBI's taxonomy places the organism in Eukaryota, Metazoa, Chordata, Mammalia, Artiodactyla, Cervidae. The record is from RefSeq and is a predicted model, not a curated record.
UUGCUCAAAGAAAGAGACGCUCUCCUCAGUGUUUCAUCUUAAGAAAAACCUCCCGGGGGUGAGACUGACUCGGAACAACGCGGCAACUUGCAAAACUAAACGAGUCAGGAAACUGGGGUGGGGGCUUACGUGCCCUAAGCACCAACGACUCACCCCUUUGAGACGGCUGCAAGGAAAAGCGGUGUAAAGAAAAGGGAAAGGCUCAUCCCAAAUUCGGCAGCGUGAUGGUGGCAAGGGGGCAGGAGGUGACAAGUCCGGAACUUGUAAGGGGUCUACAGCAGAGAACAGUUUCCACACUGAGGCAGCACAGGGAAAGAGAAGUUGCUGAGCUUCAGUCUGUGGAGGGAUUUAACGACAAAGAGUUUAAAAAGAACAGAUCCCUAUGGCUAUAGAGUAAAUUCCUUUGCACUUCAUCAAAGGAAGAUGCUACUGCACAGAUCCUCAACUGACAGAGGACUCAGAAACCAUCACUGCAACAUUUUCUACACUAGUAGCUUCAUGUGUUCGAGUGCAGGAUAAAAUCACUGAACAGUUUUAUGCUUAUUGGUUUUAUUUUUAAUAUAGUUAGUCAGACUACAAGGACCUGAACAUGUUAUUAUAUAUUGUACUCUGAUCAUGACACCUCAAAUUUCAAAAUCUCAAAUCUUUCCAAAAAGAAUUGUGACUAUGUAACCUUCGACUAUCAGUUGUAUCAUAAUCACUUAUUUGAUGAUGGAGAGUUUAGCUGAAAAUUUGUUGUUAUUAAUUUAGUUUAUUUGUCUUUUUUCCCUAGAUUCCCCUUGAAACUACAAUUCUUGAUAUAUUGAUUUACUAAACAUUUUUGAAAGACUACUAUAAGCAAGGCAUUUGAUAGGAUUUAUAGAUGAAACAACUCUUGUUCUCAAGAACCUAAAGUUUUUUAAGAUAUGUGAAAGUCUAUUAAAUGGAGAAGAGAAUAGAAUAAAUAAGUAGAAGGCAAAAUAAAAUGUCAGAGAAGUA